RNAcentral lists this ribosomal RNA (368 nucleotides) under Pantoea sp. PB-2013. Its description in RNAcentral is "bacterial SSU rRNA". It matches the Rfam family "Bacterial small subunit ribosomal RNA", at positions 1021 to 1389 of the family's 1533-position model. The record is from RNAcentral. Lineage: Bacteria; Pseudomonadati; Pseudomonadota; Gammaproteobacteria; Enterobacterales; Erwiniaceae.
CGGGAACGCUGAGACAGGUGCUGCAUGGCUGUCGUCAGCUCGUGUUGUGAAAUGUUGGGUUAAGUCCCGCAACGAGCGCAACCCUUAUCCUCUGUUGCCAGCGAUUCGGUCGGGAACUCAGGGGAGACUGCCGGUGAUAAACCGGAGGAAGGUGGGGAUGACGUCAAGUCAUCAUGGCCCUUACGAGCAGGGCUACACACGUGCUACAAUGGCGCAUACAAAGAGAAGCGACCUCGCGAGAGCAAGCGGACCUCAUAAAGUGCGUCGUAGUCCGGAUCGGAGUCUGCAACUCGACUCCGUGAAGUCGGAAUCGCUAGUAAUCGUGGAUCAGAAUGCCACGGUGAAUACGUUCCCGGGUCUUGUACACA